AGAGUUUGAUCCUGGCUCAGGAUGAACGCUGGCGGCGUGCUAAUACAUGCAAGUCGAGCGAACAGAUAAGGAGCUUGCUCCUUUGACGUUAGCGGCGGACGGGUGAGUAACACGUGGGUAACCUACCUAUAAGACUGGAAUAACUCCGGGAAACCGGGGCUAAUGCCGGAUAACAUGUUGAACCGCAUGGUUCUACAGUGAAAGACGGUCUUGCUGUCACUUAUAGAUGGACCCGCGCCGUAUUAGCUAGUUGGUGGGGUAACGGCCUACCAAGGCGACGAUACGUAGCCGACCUGAGAGGGUGAUCGGCCACACUGGAACUGAGACACGGUCCAGACUCCUACGGGAGGCAGCAGUAGGGAAUCUUCCGCAAUGGGCGAAAGCCUGACGGAGCAACGCCGCGUGAGUGAUGAAGGUCUUCGGAUCGUAAAGCUCUGUUGUUAGGGAAGAACAAAUGUGUAAGUAACUGUGCACAUCUUGACGGUACCUAACCAGAAAGCCACGGCUAACUACGUGCCAGCAGCCGCGGUAAUACGUAGGUGGCAAGCGUUAUCCGGAAUUAUUGGGCGUAAAGCGCGCGUAGGCGGUUUUUUAAGUCUGAUGUGAAAGCCCACGGCUCAACCGUGGAGGGUCAUUGGAAACUGGAAAACUUGAGUGCAGAAGAGGAAAGUGGAAUUCCAUGUGUAGCGGUGAAAUGCGCAGAGAUAUGGAGGAACACCAGUGGCGAAGGCGGCUUUCUGGUCUGCAACUGACGCUGAUGUGCGAAAGCGUGGGGAUCAAACAGGAUUAGAUACCCUAGUAGUCC
Molecule: ribosomal RNA, 805 nt
Filed under: uncultured bacterium
Lineage: Bacteria
Description: bacterial SSU rRNA
Rfam family: Bacterial small subunit ribosomal RNA
Source: RNAcentral